CCUACGGGCGGCAGCAGUGAGGAAUAUUGGUCAAUGGACGAGAGUCUGAACCAGCCAAGUAGCGUGAAGGAUGACUGCCCUAUGGGUUGUAAACUUCUUUUAUAUGGGAAUAAAACGUUCCACGUGUGGGAUUUUGUAUGUACCAUAUGAAUAAGGAUCGGCUAACUCCGUGCCAGCAGCCGCGGUAAUACGGAGGAUCCGAGCGUUAUCCGGAUUUAUUGGGUUUAAAGGGAGCGUAGGUGGAUUGUUAAGUCAGUUGUGAAAGUUUGCGGCUGAACCGUAAAAUUGCAGUUGAAACUGGCAGUCUUGAGUACAGUAGAGGUGGGCGGAAUUCGUGGUGUAGCGGUGAAAUGCUUAGAUAUCACGAAGAACUCCGAUUGCGAAGGCAGUUCACUGGACUGCAACUGACACUGAGGCUCGAAAGUGUGGGUAUCAAACAGGAUUAGAUACCCGAGUAGUC
Molecule: ribosomal RNA, 460 nt
Filed under: uncultured bacterium
Lineage: Bacteria
Description: partial 16S ribosomal RNA
Rfam family: Bacterial small subunit ribosomal RNA
Source: RNAcentral